AAAAAGAACAGGAUUUUAGUCAAGAUUUAAACUCAGUUGAUCAUUUUGAAAAAAGGGAAGACAAUAAACAGAAUAAUGAAACAGACGACCAUGGUAGUUGUAAUAAUAGUGGUUACAGUAGCAAGUCUUAUUUAUUUAAUGUACUGAACCAUUUUAGUAAUUUAAAAAAAUUAAAAUCCUCAAAAGGGAUAGAUGAAACAGUGGCAAAUUCAAAAUGCAAAGGGACACAAAAAGAAUCUGAGCAAGUGAAUGAAAAAGAAAAGGAAAGUGAAAGUGAUAACAAGAAAAAGGACGAAAAAGAAAACCUGAAUGAAAGUGAAAAUGAAAAAAAAAUGAUCACCCACGAUGUACAAAAUGAGAAUAGUACCGUUAUGGAAAUAAAAAAUAAAGAAAAUUUGAUAUCCGUAAAUGAAAAUUUAACGAAAGAAGAGUGUUUAAACAAUCAUGAAGUUAACACUAUCGAAUUUGUAACAACUGAUAAUAAAAGUGCAUUUAGUAUUGGUACUGUUAUGUCUGUAAUACCUGACAAAGAUAUAAACAACAACAAAUGUAAUGAUAGUACUAUUUUGAGUUAUAACACUGAUACUAAUGUUACUAAUUACAUCAGUUCCAAUUUAUGUAUUGAUAAUGGAAAUACCCGUGAGGACACAAUACUACCUGUCGAAUUAAACAAAAUGGAAAAGCUCAUACAAGAAAUUAAAAUUAAUAAUGAAAUUUACAAUGAAAAUAUGAGCGAAAUUUUAUUAGUGUAUAAUGAUUUAUAUACUUCUUUUUUAGAUAAUAUAUUUUGCCUAAGUAAAAAUAAUAAAAAUGAAUAUUCUUAUUUAAAAAAAGAAAUAGAAAAAAUAAAAAAAAAUACAUGUUUAAUAACAGAAUGUUUAGAUGCUUGUAAAACAGAAAUAAAAAAUAAUUUAAAUAUGGAUGACUCUGUUAUGCUUGAUGAAAUGAAACGUUUAUUUUUGGUAGUAUUUGAUACAAAAAUAGAAGGAACAAUUUAUGUGAAUAAAACUGAGGCUACUAAUGAUGUUACAAAGGAUAAGGACAGCGACAAAAGCGAGAAUGAAAACGAGAAUGGAAACGAGAAUGGAAACGAGAAUGGAAACGAGAAUGGAAACGAUAACAGUAACAAAAACGAUAACGAAAACGAGAACAAACACGAUAGCAAUAACAGUAACAGUAGCAGUAACAGUCACUUUGAUGAAAACAUUAUGAACAGUCGAACGACGUGCAUUAUUUUUACUAUGCUGUGUUCAAAUGAAAUUAUAAAUAUAUUGGAGGAUAUGUAUAAAAAGGUGUUUGUAAAAAUUGAGGUAAGUGAGGAUGAGCAUUUAGAACAAGUUAAUCGAGCAAUAAAAAGGUUGAGCAAUAUGAACGCAUUUAUGCAGUUUCUUAUAAGAACGAAUAAUACACCUAUAACAACAGCAACAACUGCCACUAUUACUACUACUGUCACUAAUGAUAAUAAUAACAGCAAAAAUAGCAGUAAUAAUAGAAACAAAAAUAACAGUAACAGUAGAAGGAAAAAUAACAGUAAUAAUAGAAACCCAAUAGAUAAUAUUAAUAACAACAAAAAUAGCAGUAAUGAUAGCAAUAAUAAUAGCAGUAAUAGUAGUAGCAAAAAUAGUAGUUACAAUAGAAGCAAAAAUAGCAACAAAAAUAGCAACAAAAAUAACAACAAAAAUAACAAUAAUAAUAACAAUAAUAAUAACAAUAAAAAUAACAGUAAUAAUGGAAAUGGAUUAAAUAACGACGAUUGCACAGUUAUAACUAAAAAAGACACAAAAUAUAUUUAUGGAAAUAAAAAAAAUGGAGAAGUAAAAAUCGAAGAAACAGCAGUAGAAGAAAAAGAAAAAAAAGAAGAACAAAGUGAAAAACAUUUCAAAUUAACAAAAAAAAACACACAUUUUUGUACAGUACGUAAUGUAACUAAUAGUACAACUAACCUAAUGAAUAAAAUAAACUUUAAUAAAAAAACUAUAAAUUAUUUUUGUAAAGAUAAUAUAGAAACACCAGUAAAUGUAUCAGGACGCUUAAGUGAAACGGCAAUUAUAAAUAAUACACAAAUGAAAGAAAAACAUUUAAAAACAGAAACGACCAUAAAUGGUAUUGUUAGUACCAAUAACGACAACACUAGUAUCAAUAAAACCAACAAUACAGUACAUCUAAUGAGUAAUGAAAAACAAUAUUCCACUAAAAAAAUGAUUUAUAAAAAAGGAUUGUCAACUAUUUAUAAUAACAUGAACAAUAGUUUUAGUAAUAAUUAUAAUUUAAAUAAUAAUAUUAACAAUAUAAAUAAUGUUGCUACUACUACUACUGUAAGUAGUAAUAAUUUGAUUAGAGAUGAACAAGCGAAAGAUAAUUAUAGUGAUAUGAUGGUCUAUAUUUCAUGGGUUCCUAAAAGUGCUAGAUGCCAAUACCCAUUAGAAUUACCAAAAAAUACAGAUGAAAGAAAUAAUAUUUCUGAAUAUGUUAAAGCAAAAGAACAAAUGAUUUAUAUCUUAAAAAUUAUGGGUUAUGAUGAAGUAGAUAGUGUGUUUUUUCAUCCACCGAAAGGAUCACAUAUAAAAAUUAAAUUUAAAACGUUAGAUUGUAUGAAUAAAUUUUUAAAAACUUAUAAAAAUACACCUGAUAAAUGGAAAGAAGAUAUGUUUGUUUUUUUUAACAUCCCUAUGAGAAGUAGUAUAUCAGUAAGAGAUCUACGAAUUGAAAGGGCUGUACCUAGGAUGUCAACUAAUGAAGUAAGAAAAAAUAAUAAUGAUUUAUUUUUAUUUAAAGAUAAUUAUAAUUUAUAUGAGGAAAAUGAAUAUAAUAAAUUGAAAAAAAUAAAAUUCCGUUAUGACACACAUAAAAAACACGUUGUUAUGAAAACUGUAGAUGAUAAUAAAGAUAUUAAUCAUGUAAAUAAUGAUGGUAUGAUUUCUCGUGAUCUUCAUCCUGUAACAUUAGAUACACCCACUAUUGCAGCUGAUACAACGGUUACAACUACAACAACUAUGAAUAGUCAUACUGAUUUCAAUAUGAGAUUAGACACAAAAACUACUCUCAAAAUUGGUAUUGAUGAUAAUGAUAACUGUACCAGUAAUAAUAAUACCAUUGGUACUAAUACUUUCAGUAUCACCAAUACAGAUAAUAAUAACAGAAACAAUCAUAUAAUGAAAAAUAAAAUGCAAAAAAUUAGAACAAAUGGUAGUGAUAGUAGUAGCAUAUGGGAAUCAGAAAAUCAAACAUUAGAUUUUAAAUUGGAAGGUAUCAUUGGUAAAAAUCCUAAUAUAUUACCAAAUGUUGAUUAUAAAAAUGUUUUGUUUGGGAAUGAAAGUUCCAGUGCUUGUUCUUGUAAUACAUGUUAUGAUAAAGGUAAUGUACAACAGUCUUCAGGUGUUAUCCAAGGUUCACUCAUGUCUCCAAUUAAUAACAAAAAAAUUCCCAAUGGGUGUGGAAACAGCAGUAACAACAGCAGUAACAACAAUAGUAACAACAAUAGUAACAAUAAUAGUAACAACAAUAGUAACAACAAUAGUAACAACAAUAGUAACAACAAUAGUAACAACAAUAGUAACAACAAUAGUAACAACAAUAGUAACAGUGAUAGUGGAGCUUUAACAACAACAAACUUAUUUAUAAGUAAAAAUACAUACAAUUCGAACAACAUUACUACAAAUAUAAAUAAAAUAGGAUAUUAUAAUAACACGGACAACAUAAAAUAUUUAUCAAAAACAAAUCAGAAGAAUAGACAGAGUGAUCUUAUUUUACUGAAUCCUAAUGAAUCGAAUGUCGAUAUGUUGAUGGACGAAACUUAUAUACAUACACACAUGCCUAAUGAAAAACAUUUGAAAAAUCAUAACAUGAAUAACGAUACUUUUAAUAAUAAUUUUGUUAGGAACGUAAAAAGUGAUAUAAUAAAAACACAUACUAUAAAAAAUGACUUUAUAAAAAAUGACUUUAUAAAAAAUGACUUUAUAAAAAAUGACUUUAUAAAUAGUGAUUUUAUAAAAAGUGACUUGAACAAUAACAAAAAUAGUAACAAUAACAAUUUAAACGGUAAUACAAUUAACCUUCAAAAAUUAGUUGCUACUUCUAUGGGUAUUAAUCCAACAAAAGAUAUGUACAUUAUGAAAAAUAACAAUAUCAGUAGAAUUAAGAAAAAACAAUUUUCACCAAAUACAUUUGUUUGUAAUGAUAGCGGCGAUAAUGCUACUGCUACUGCCACUACGACUCUUGCCACUACAACUCUUUCCACUACGACUCUUGCAACUACUUCUCUUCCCACUACAUCUCUUCCCACUACUUCUCUUGCAACUACUACCACUACUACUACUGCUACUACCACCACUACCACUACUACUACUAAUGACAAUACGAUUUACUCAAAUGACACAAAUACUAUCAAUAAUAUAUUAAUAAAUGAACAAAAUGAAUCAAAAAGACAUACAUAUAAUUCAAUUUUAUCAAACAAUAUAAAUAAUAGUAUAGAUUAUUUGAAUAAAAAUGUAUUUACAUAUAAUAGUAGUAGUAGUAAUAGUAAUGUUGGUCAUAAAAAUUGUAAUGGAAAUUGUAGUGGAAAUUGUAAUGGAAAUAAUGUUAAUGGUAAAGAAAUUUUAAAUAAUAUUAAAAAGAGUUAUAUAAAACAUAAUUAUAAUGAAAAUAAUGGUAAUAAUAAUUUUAAUAAUUAUAUAAAUAUUAAUUAUAGUGGCAAUACAUAUACAAAUUCUAGUUACGGUAGUAGUAAUUAUGGUAAUAAUAAUUAUUAUAAAAAUAAAAAUAUUAAUGAUAGUGAUUA
Molecule: long non-coding RNA, 4777 nt
Filed under: Piliocolobus tephrosceles (Ugandan red Colobus)
Lineage: Eukaryota; Metazoa; Chordata; Mammalia; Primates; Cercopithecidae
Description: lncRNA (ENSPTEG00000004175.1)
Source: RNAcentral